This 70-nucleotide transfer RNA is filed under the name Marmota monax (woodchuck). RNAcentral's name for it is "tRNA.Ala". The stretch from base 5 to 65 matches the Rfam family "tRNA", at positions 6 to 65 of the family's 71-position model. Rfam says of the family: Transfer RNA (tRNA) molecules are approximately 80 nucleotides in length. Their secondary structure includes four short double-helical elements and three loops (D, anti-codon, and T loops). The record is from RNAcentral. Lineage: Eukaryota; Metazoa; Chordata; Mammalia; Rodentia; Sciuridae.
GGGCUGGAGCUCAGUGGUAGAGCACUCACCUAGCAUGUGUGAGGCACUGAGUUCAAUCCUCAGCACCACA